AACAGUCCACUUACAAAUUUAUAACCCCAAAUAAAAUGGCCAAAUAUCAAACCCAAAUUACCUAAACCAAUUCCUAACUAAAACCCAUUACAUAUUAAACCAAACAACCCAAAAUUUGAAGGCCCAAGUGGCCCAGAAUGUUUAAACAUUUAGAAACCCUAACCCUAGCCCCAACUUUCAGCCACUACUCCUCACCAGUAGGGCCACCACAUGCGCCGCUUCAUCGCACGCCGCACGCCAUCUCCUCCACGCGUCAUAUAAUACCUGCAACAAAAUCAAAUGCAACAGCAGAGAGAGAGCACGCAAGCAACAGAGAAGUAAAUAGCAAAAAACAAAAAAACAGAAACAAAGGGUUGUGAUUUCGGCUAUAAGAGCCACAUCGAUUUCUCUGUCGUUUUUUUAUGAAUAUUAAGCAAUCAAAAAGCAAUACACAAGAGAAAAGGUUGAUUUCUAGUUCCAUAUCUCGUUUUCCUUUCGUUCUUUUCUAUUUUUCUUUUUUUAUUAUCUUUUUAUUUUUAUUAUAAAUCUAUUUUAAACAAAAAAUAACUAAAGAAAUAAAAAAACUCACUUAGGAUCUCUCGCGGUCGCGAUGUCGGAGAGCCCUCCUUUUUGCUGAAAUCGGGUCCAAAGAGGGGCCGAGAGCCUCUCCUAUAUGGCGUUUGCAGAUCUCAGCAGCGUGGCCUUCAGGGGUGCUCCAAAAUGGGGCUAAAGAAGCCCAUUUUUUGAGACGUCGGCCACUGGCCAUAGCGGCGGUAGGGCAGACCUCCGAAGGAGCCCAGCCGUCGAGGAGAAGAGGGGAGUGAGAGCAUGUGAGGGUUUUGAAAAUUAAAAGAAAAG
RNAcentral lists this long non-coding RNA (837 nucleotides) under Gossypium barbadense (sea-island cotton). Its description in RNAcentral is "long non-coding RNA (GBAR_LNC007078)". Lineage: Eukaryota; Viridiplantae; Streptophyta; Magnoliopsida; Malvales; Malvaceae. The record is from RNAcentral.